This 150-nucleotide unclassified non-coding RNA is filed under the name uncultured fungus. Its description in RNAcentral is "sequence contains ITS1". Lineage: Eukaryota; Fungi. The record is from RNAcentral.
UUGAUUCAAAUCAUGGAUUCAGACACGAGACGGAUUCCUGCAUUAAGACGGCGCCGAAGCGCCGAAGCACGGAUCGCUUCCACUGGUUUGGGGUUUGAAGGCCCGACGGGCCAUUCGGUAAUGAUCCCUCCGCAGGUUCACCUACGGAGA